RNAcentral lists this ribosomal RNA (492 nucleotides) under uncultured bacterium. Its description in RNAcentral is "partial 16S ribosomal RNA". It matches the Rfam family "Bacterial small subunit ribosomal RNA", at positions 29 to 507 of the family's 1533-position model. The record is from RNAcentral.
AGUGAACGCUGGCGGUAGGCCUAACACAUGCAAGUCGAACGGCAGCACAGUAAGAGCUUGCUCUUACGGGUGGCGAGUGGCGGACGGGUGAGGAAUACAUCGGAAUCUACUUUUUCGUGGGGGAUAACGUAGGGAAACUUACGCUAAUACCGCAUACGACCUACGGGUGAAAGCAGGGGAUCUUCGGACCUUUCGCGAUUGAAUGAGCCGAUGUCGGAUUAGCUAGUUGGCGGGGUAAAGUCCCACCAAGGCGACGAUCCGUAGCUGGUCUGAGAGGAUGAUCAGCCACACUGGAACUGAGACACGGUCCAGACUCCUACGGGAGGCAGCAGUGGGGAUUAUUGGACAAUGGGCGCAAGCCUGAUCCAGCCAUACCGCGUGGGUGAAGAAGGCCUUCGGGUUGUAAAGCCCUUUUGUUGGGAAAGAAAAGCAGCAGGUUAAUACCCCGCUGUUCUGACGGUACCCAAAGAAUAAGCACCGGCUAACUUCGUG